RNAcentral lists this ribosomal RNA (253 nucleotides) under uncultured bacterium. Its description in RNAcentral is "partial 16S ribosomal RNA". It matches the Rfam family "Bacterial small subunit ribosomal RNA", at positions 524 to 776 of the family's 1533-position model. The record is from RNAcentral.
UACGUAGGGUGCAAGCGUUAAUCGGAAGUUACUGGGCGUAAAGCGUGCGCAGGCGGUGAUGUAAGACAGGUGUGAAAUCUCCGGGCUUAACCUGGGAACUGCAUUUGUGACUGCAUCGCUGGAGUGCGGCAGAGGGGAUGGAAUUCCGCGUGUAGCAGUGAAAUGCGUAGAUAUGCGGAGGAACACCGAUGGCGAAGGCAAUCCCCUGGGCCUGCACUGACGCUCAUGCACGAAAGCGUGGGGAGCAAACAGG